GCGACAUUCUGAUUUUCGAUCACUAUCGAUUCCGACUUCACGCAGUCGAGUUGCAGACUGCGAUCCGGACUACGAUCGGUUUUGUGAGAUUAGCUCCACCUCGCGGNUUGGCAACCCUCUGUACCGACCAUUGUAGCACGUGUGUAGCCCAGGCCGUAAGGGCCAUGAUGACUUGACGUCAUCCCCACCUUCCUCCGGUUUGUCACCGGCAGUCUCCUUAGAGUGCCCACCAUUACGUGCUGGUAACUAAGGACAAGGGUUGCGCUCGUUACGGGACUUAACCCAACAUCUCACGACACGAGCUGACGACAUCCAUGCAGCACCUGUNUCAAUGUUCCCGAAGGCACCNAUCCAUCUCUGGAAAGUNCAUGUAUGUC
RNAcentral lists this ribosomal RNA (377 nucleotides) under Pseudomonas syringae. RNAcentral describes it as "partial 16S ribosomal RNA". Lineage: Bacteria; Pseudomonadati; Pseudomonadota; Gammaproteobacteria; Pseudomonadales; Pseudomonadaceae. The record is from RNAcentral.